UACGUAGGGUGCAAGCGUUGUCCGGAAUUAUUGGGCGUAAAGAGCUCGUAGGCGGUGUGUCGCGUCUGCCGUGAAAACCUGCGGCUUAACCGUGGGCGUGCGGUGGAUACGGGCAUCACUUGAGUUCGGCAGGGGAGACUGGAAUUCCUGGUGUAGCGGUGGAAUGCGCAGAUAUCAGGAGGAACACCGGUGGCGAAGGCGGGUCUCUGGGCCGAUACUGACGCUGAGGAGCGAAAGCGUGGGGAGCGAACAGG
Molecule: ribosomal RNA, 254 nt
Filed under: uncultured bacterium
Lineage: Bacteria
Description: partial 16S ribosomal RNA
Rfam family: Bacterial small subunit ribosomal RNA
Source: RNAcentral